RNAcentral lists this transfer RNA (78 nucleotides) under Candidatus Cloacimonetes bacterium HGW-Cloacimonetes-1. RNAcentral describes it as "tRNA-Pro". It matches the Rfam family "tRNA". From Rfam's summary of the family: Transfer RNA (tRNA) molecules are approximately 80 nucleotides in length. Their secondary structure includes four short double-helical elements and three loops (D, anti-codon, and T loops). The record is from RNAcentral. Lineage: Bacteria; Pseudomonadati; Candidatus Cloacimonadota.
CGGGAUGUAGCGCAGCCCGGGUAGCGUACUUGAAUGGGGUUCAAGUGGUCGCUGGUUCAAAUCCAGUCAUCCCGACCA